Molecule: long non-coding RNA, 202 nt
Filed under: Elaeis guineensis (African oil palm)
Lineage: Eukaryota; Viridiplantae; Streptophyta; Magnoliopsida; Arecales; Arecaceae
Description: long non-coding RNA (EGUI_LNC059991)
Source: RNAcentral
GUAGUAUAGAAACAUGUUGAUAUGAUCAACAUGUAGUUCAUGCUAUAUUUAUAUAUUUUAAUUUUUGAUUUAAUGCUAUGUAAUAAUCAUGUAAUAGGAUUUUAGAUCUAGGGAUUCUCUGAUUUUAAAAAAUAAUUUUGAUUUAUUUUAGUCUUCCGCUGUAUGAUCUUGAAAAAGUUUCAAGAUCUAACCCUGAAACCCU